Molecule: non-coding RNA, 43 nt
Filed under: unclassified sequences
Description: L31-Actinobacteria ribosomal protein leader
Rfam family: L31-Actinobacteria ribosomal protein leader
Source: RNAcentral
CAGGCUCCGGUUCACGCCGACAUCCGACGGCGACCCGGCGGCC